GGCCUGGUAGUUCAGUUGGGUAGAAUGCCAGCCUGUCACGCUGGAGGGCGAGGGUUCGAACCCCUUCCAGGUCGCCA
Molecule: transfer RNA, 77 nt
Filed under: Clostridioides difficile
Lineage: Bacteria; Bacillati; Bacillota; Clostridia; Peptostreptococcales; Peptostreptococcaceae
Description: tRNA-Asp
Rfam family: tRNA
About the family: Transfer RNA (tRNA) molecules are approximately 80 nucleotides in length.
Source: RNAcentral